ACCCCUGGAAAGGAAACAAACUGCACUGAAAUCUUAUUUCUUAAGACUGCAACACCCUCCAGGUCCUGACAACCCCAUGACCACCAGAUGACACCAGCCCUUUUCUCAGUUUUUGAUUUGCAGUUUGCUUGAGUAAGAGGGAGAUAUUUGUCAGAGUGGAAUUACUUUCUUCACAGCUUAUGCCAUCCAGCACAUGCCCAACAUGAAGAAUUCCCAGUUCCAUCAGAGUAAGAAUUGGAGAAGAAAACAUCUGGCAUCUAGAGUGUUAAAACUUACAUUUCAAAUUCAGUAUAUUCAGAAAGAAUUUUGCUCAAUCACUUGGGCAAGGAAGGCCAGAUACAUGGAUGCAGCACUACCACUGAUGGAGCAAGGAAGUAUACAGAAUCUGGCCUUUCAUUUUUGUCCUUUACUAAAAAUUUAACCUUCUGUGACCUGCAGAUGGCCUGUGCAGAGAACAGCUCUUCCUGUCCUCUUUCUAACGCCUACAAUGCAUCCUGUCCGAACAACCACCACCUACAAAAUUUUACAGCGGUCUAAGUAUGAGGAUCAAGUUCCACAUCUCCAGUACUGGUGUGAUAGGAAGGGGAUGUCCUACAGGAGCAUUUGCACCCUAUGUAUUUUUUCCAUUUAAAGAAGACACACAUGUCAGAAGCAGUUAAGAUUACAUGGAGAUUAUAUGACCUGUACCUACAGCAGAAGAGGAGACUCCUCUAUUCUUGGUGCAAUCCUGUUUAUUUACUUUAUAUAAAAUCCUGUUUUUCCAAGCAGAAUAAGAAAGAAAAGUACAACUCAACCAACAGUUUCCAUUGUCCACAAUACCCACAUCCUCCUUUAAAACACAAAUCCCUCUUCAGCCAUGGUUUCACAAAACAAAGCAUUCUGCAACAAUGCUGGCUUACACUGCUCCUGAUUCCAAGCUGUGAAUUCAGUCAGGGAAUUGAUCUGACUUCAGAAAAGUCUGGAACAAAUGCCUUGGUAUUUUCUUAGGCUGGGUAAAUUUGCCAACUCAAUUCAAAAGGACCCCCAGAACAGCUGAGGAAAUAGCAACAGCACCAGAUUUGUCUUUCUCCAGCACUCAAAGAAGCUACAUAUUCAGUGAGCCUAGAUUUCUUUGUCGACCCAGACUCAAAGAAAAUCUCUUGUCUCCAGAUUGCCUCACCUCUCUGGUGUCCCAAUGGGAUGAUGCAGACAGCAAGAAGAAAAUUUUAGUGGAGGAAAAGAGAAGUGGAAAGUGCCCAGCAAUUACAGCAUUGUCAUUUCAGGGGAAUUUCAUUUAAUGGAAGUUUCACCCAGAAAACAAUAUGAUUCCUUAUUCAGGACCUAAAUACCUAUGUUACCUUGAUUAUUCAGUCAAUGCAGACAUAAAAGUCAGUAAAAGCAAUGACAACCAUUUAAUGUAGAGUAACAUUCAACUGUGAAAACAUUUUCAGAAUCAUUAGUGAAUCAUUAUUGAUCAUUAUCAAAUAAUUUUGGUAAUGAUUUCAGAAUCAUUGACUGAUUUGUGGUUCUUCUGGAACUCACCGAUCC
This is a long non-coding RNA of Passer domesticus (house sparrow), 1527 nucleotides long. RefSeq lists it as uncharacterized. NCBI's taxonomy places the organism in Eukaryota, Metazoa, Chordata, Aves, Passeriformes, Passeridae. The record is from RefSeq and is a predicted model, not a curated record. The transcript has 3 exons.